Molecule: ribosomal RNA, 448 nt
Filed under: uncultured bacterium
Lineage: Bacteria
Description: bacterial SSU rRNA
Rfam family: Bacterial small subunit ribosomal RNA
Source: RNAcentral
AACGAACGCUGGCGGCAGGCCUAACACAUGCAAGUCGAACGCCGUAGCGAUACGGAGUGGCAGACGGGUGAGUAACGCGUGGGAACAUACCCCUCGGUUCGGAAUAACUCAGGGAAACUUGAGCUAAUACCGGAUAAGUCCGAGGUUUUAAUCGACCUUGGAGAAAGAUUUAUCGCCGGAGGAUUGGCCCGCGUCUGGUUAGCUUGUUGGUGAGGUAAUGGCUCACCAAGGCGACGAUCAGAGCUGGUCUGAGAGGAUGAUCAGCCACAUUGGGACUGAGACACGGCCCAAACUCCUACGGGAGGCAGCAGUGGGGAAUAUUGGACAAUGGGCGAAAGCCUGAUCCAGCCAUGCCGCGUGAGUGAUGAAGGCCUUAGGGUUGUAAAGCUCUUUUACCCGGGAAGAUAAUGACGGUACCGGGAGAAUAAGCCCCGGCUAACUUCGUGCC